AUAAUGAUACUUGCGUCCAGUCACAGGCCGAGCGUUGAAGCGGCACGAAAAGCGCCGUGAGCCGUCGCAACCAAUGAGGGCGCCUCGCAGAGAUCCUGGGAGUGGUGGGAUUCCAAUGA
RNAcentral lists this non-coding RNA (119 nucleotides) under unclassified sequences. Its description in RNAcentral is "pemK RNA". It matches the Rfam family "pemK RNA". The record is from RNAcentral.